This 252-nucleotide ribosomal RNA is filed under the name uncultured bacterium. Its description in RNAcentral is "partial 16S ribosomal RNA". It matches the Rfam family "Bacterial small subunit ribosomal RNA", at positions 57 to 305 of the family's 1533-position model. The record is from RNAcentral.
GCAAGUCGAGCGGAAACACAAGGGAGCUUGCUCCUGAGGUGUCGAGCGGCGGACGGGUGAGUAAUGCCUAGGGAACUGCCCAGUCGAGGGGGAUAAAAGUUGGAAACGACUGCUAAUACCGCAUACGCCCUACGGGGGAAAGGAGGGGACCUUCGGGCCUUUCGCGAUUGGAUGAACCUAGGUGGGAUUAGCUAGUUGGUGAGGUAAUGGCUCACCAAGGCGACGAUCCCUAGCUGUUCUGAGAGGAUGAUC